Molecule: ribosomal RNA, 24 nt
Filed under: uncultured Thelephoraceae
Lineage: Eukaryota; Fungi; Basidiomycota; Agaricomycetes; Thelephorales; Thelephoraceae
Description: partial 28S ribosomal RNA
Source: RNAcentral
AUCUCAAAUCAGGUUCGGCAACCU